RNAcentral lists this ribosomal RNA (472 nucleotides) under uncultured bacterium. RNAcentral describes it as "partial 16S ribosomal RNA". It matches the Rfam family "Bacterial small subunit ribosomal RNA", at positions 28 to 507 of the family's 1533-position model. The record is from RNAcentral.
GAUGAACGCUGGCGGCGUGCCUAAUACAUGCAAGUCGAGCGAACGGACGAGAAGCUUGCUCUUCUGAUGUUAGCGGCGGACGGGUGAGUAACACGUGGAUAACCUACCUAUAAGACUGGGAUAACUUCGCGAAACCGGAGCUAAUACCGGAUAAUAUUUUGAACCGCAUGGUUCAAAAGUGAAAGUCGGUCUUGCUGUCACUUAUAGAUGGAUCCGCGCUGCAUUAGCUAGUUGGUAAGGUAACGGCUUACCAAGGCGACGAUGCAUAGCCGACCUGAGAGGAUGGGCAGAGACACUGAGAGUGGGACGCGGCCGGGACUCCUACGGGAGGCAGCAGUGGGGAAUAUUGCACAAUGGGGGAAAGCCUGAACGAGCAAGGACGGGAGAGUGAUGAAGGUAGUAGGGUAGUAAAGCUCUUUUACCCGGGAUGAUAAUGACGGUACCGGGAGAAUAAGCUCCGGCUAACUACGUG